RNAcentral lists this non-coding RNA (21 nucleotides) under Caenorhabditis elegans. Lineage: Eukaryota; Metazoa; Nematoda; Chromadorea; Rhabditida; Rhabditidae. The record is from RNAcentral.
UCUGCCAUCUCAUCCAACACA